AACAAGCUUGGAAUUUUCCCAGGCAAUAGGCUGGUGGACAAAGGAUGGAGAAGAUUCAUAAAGCCCUCUUUCCUUUGUCCCCGUCUUGCCUGUGGUCACUGGGGGCUGAGGAUGUGUUAUCAGCACAGCAGGACGCUGCGGGGGCCACGUAGGCAGUGCUGCUGCUGCCGAUAUACACAAGUGGCUGGAUAUUUGUUCAACUAGGAAAAUAAAAAGCUCAAGAAAAUUACUCUGAGCACUAAAAAUCGAUGGUGGGAUAAUGUAAUAACAGUCCCUUACUGUUGUUCAAUGCAGCACGGUUUACAACGUAUUUUCCUGGCCCUUAUGAGAAGCCGAGGGUACAAUCAAAAGAUGAGAAGACCAGGACUUCAUAGGUAAAGUACUCCACAAGGUCACACAGCAGAAGAAGGUGGGGCAGAACGUGACCUUGAGCUUUGAUACCAAGCUCUGGAUCAAGAAGGCUCUCAACUCCGGUACCUCUCCUCCAACUUCAGCACCUUGGUGCAAGCAUGCUUGGGAUCAGCAUGAGGAUGAGUCUGGACAAUGGCUCGGUGUCAGGGAGAGAGACUGACCCAGGAGUCAGGACACCUGGUCUUAAGUCUCUACUUUGCCCCUAACUUCAUGGCGUCCCUACAGUUGCCUUCUUCUCUCUGGGCCUCAGUCUCCACACCUGUAAGAUGAGGGUGCUGAACUGUACACGAAGACCAAGAUCCCUUCCAGCUCUGACCCUCGGGAGAUACUAAGGAUCUUGGAUGACAGAAAGAAGGGACAGCAGAUGCCCAGGGUGUGUGACCUCUGUCUAUCCCUCCUUCCCUUCACUUGGGCUCGGGGUGGGGAGGAGGACCCCCUCCGCCCCACUGCUCCAGAGUGACCAGGACCCACUUAUCCCCUGCAGAUUCCCCAGCCUGGUCCAGGUUGAGCUCC
This is a long non-coding RNA of Bubalus bubalis (water buffalo), 924 nucleotides long. RefSeq lists it as uncharacterized. The transcript has 3 exons. Lineage: Eukaryota; Metazoa; Chordata; Mammalia; Artiodactyla; Bovidae. The record is from RefSeq and is a predicted model, not a curated record.